CAUAUGGUCGGUUCCGUCGGUACACAUAUUGUGGCCGAUAGAUUGGUAAGAAAUCUAUACCAAAACUCUUCACUAAAAGUGUAAAAACUCUUAUAUGUAUAUUUUAAUUAAUUUAAUUAUUUAUUUAUUAUGAUAGUUGGGUCAUCCACCAAGCCAGCUAUGGUUAUAGAAGGCCACACAUCAGUCUAGGAGGACUGGUAAUUACUUAAAUUCUAGGUUGUGACAGAUCGUGGUAAGAA
Molecule: long non-coding RNA, 239 nt
Filed under: Elaeis guineensis (African oil palm)
Lineage: Eukaryota; Viridiplantae; Streptophyta; Magnoliopsida; Arecales; Arecaceae
Description: long non-coding RNA (EGUI_LNC024953)
Source: RNAcentral